CCUACGGGGGGCAGCAGUAGGGAAUAUUGCUCAAUGGGGGAAACCCUGAAGCAGCAACGCCGCGUGGAGGAUGAAGGUUUUCGGAUUGUAAACUCCUUUUGUUAGAGAAGAUAAUGACGGUAUCUAACGAAUAAGCACCGGCUAACUCCGUGCCAGCAGCCGCGGGAAUACGGAGGGUGCAAGCGUUACUCGGAAUCACUGGGCGUAAAGAGGGCGUAGGCGGGAUAGCAAGUCAGAUGUGAGAUCCUGUGGCUUAACCAUAGAACUGCAUUUGAAACUGUUAUUCUAGAGUAUGGGAGAGGUAGGUGGAAUUCUUGGUGUAGGGGUGAAAUCCGUAGAGAUCAAGAAGAAUACUCAUUGCGAAGGCGACCUGCUAGAACAUCACUGACGCUGAUGCGCGAAAGCGUGGGGAGCAAACAGGAUUAGAUACCCCAGUAGUC
RNAcentral lists this ribosomal RNA (440 nucleotides) under uncultured bacterium. RNAcentral's name for it is "partial 16S ribosomal RNA". It matches the Rfam family "Bacterial small subunit ribosomal RNA", at positions 338 to 795 of the family's 1533-position model. The record is from RNAcentral.